Molecule: long non-coding RNA, 637 nt
Organism: Conger conger (European conger)
Lineage: Eukaryota; Metazoa; Chordata; Actinopteri; Anguilliformes; Congridae
Exons: 3
Source: RefSeq, a predicted model, not a curated record
UUGUGUUUCAGACACCGAGUCAGGUAGAGGUAGCCUUCAAGGCUGGGUUUUUAUUAGAGACUUAAAGGCGUGUUACUCCGUAUUCGGGUAACCGUAUCAGUUCGUCUUUAUUAUUUCUUUCACCUCUUAAGUUAAAAUAGACUCUUCUACCAGGUUUUCGGUACUUUUUAGUUGGCGUUUCGCCGGGCAGUUUUCUGUCCUGUUUUCCGUUUUCCCCUUUCUCCUCUGGUGCUCCCCCUAUAUUAUAUUGGGGAGAACCCUGGAUUAUAUUAGAGUGAUUAUCACACAUUCAGUGGUUAACUUGAAGAUUCCUUUUUCGGUCGCGUCUGGUCCUCCGUCCACGUCCUUUUCAUGGCAAGGGUCCAGCAAACCAAAUGCAUAAUAAUGCAAUUCUAAAAACAUGCUAACUUUAAGAAACGUUAAUAGAAUGUCCAUUGUUCACUUAGACCAUAAUGAUAAUUCCUCCAGGAAAAUUCUGUUUCACCGCUGCAUACUUCUACAAAGCCUGUUGCUGUCUGAGGAGAACACAAGGAGAUGGAGAGGUAGAGGGAAGGAGACAGGAUUUGUCCAUGAGGGGAAAGAAGAUGCCACAGAAGAUGCGGGGUGACAAUGGCUCAGAUGAUGAGAGCAGUCGUCU